GGGCUUCUGAUGUUAAAUCAACAUUAUAGCAGAUUUCAGUGAGACUUAUCGUCAAUGAUAUGAUUGUUACACAUACCGCAGCCC
Small nucleolar RNA from Rhodamnia argentea, 84 nucleotides. RefSeq annotates it as small nucleolar RNA R11/Z151. The transcript has a single exon. The record is from RefSeq and is a predicted model, not a curated record. Lineage: Eukaryota; Viridiplantae; Streptophyta; Magnoliopsida; Myrtales; Myrtaceae.